RNAcentral lists this ribosomal RNA (1128 nucleotides) under uncultured bacterium. RNAcentral's name for it is "bacterial SSU rRNA". It matches the Rfam family "Bacterial small subunit ribosomal RNA", at positions 8 to 1121 of the family's 1533-position model. The record is from RNAcentral.
AGAGUUUGAUCCUGGCUCAGAGUGAACGCUGGCGGCGUGCUUAACACAUGCAAGUCGAACGAGAACGGGUUAUAGCUUGCUAUAACUGUCAGCUAAGUGGCGCACGGGUGAGUAAUAUAUAGGUAAUGUGCCCUAGAGAAGAGGAUAACAGUUGGAAACGACUGCUAAUACUCUAUAUGCCUUUAAGACAAAAGUCUGCAAGGGAAAUAUUUAUAGCUCUAGGAUCGGCCUGUACGGUAUCAGCUAGUUGGUGAGGUAAUGGCUCACCAAGGCAAUGACGCCUAACUGGUUUGAGAGGAUGAUCAGUCACACUGGAACUGAGACACGGUCCAGACUCCUACGGGAGGCAGCAGUGGGGAAUAUUGCACAAUGGGGGAAACCCUGAUGCAGCAACGCCGCGUGGAGGAUGACACAUUUCGGUGCGUAAACUCCUUUUAUAUAGGAAGAUAAUGACGGUACUAUAUGAAUAAGCGCCGGCUAACUCCGUGCCAGCAGCCGCGGUAAUACGGAGGGCGCAAGCGUUACUCGGAAUCACUGGGCGUAAAGAGCGUGUAGGCGGGUUAAUAAGUUUGAAGUGAAAUCCUAUGGCUCAACCAUAGAACUGCUUUGAAAACUGUUAACCUAGAAUAUGGGAGAGGUAGAUGGAAUUUCUGGUGUAGGGGGUAAAAUCCGUAGAGAUCAGAAGGAAUACCGAUUGCGAAGGCGAUCUACUGGAACAUUAUUGACGCUGAGACGCGAAAGCGUGGGGAGCAAACAGGAUUAGAUACCCUGGUAGUCCACGCCCUAAACGAUGUACACUAGUUGUUGUGAGGCUAGACCUUGCAGUAAUGCAGUAAACACAUUAAGUGUACCGCCUGGGGAGUACGGUCGCAAGAUUAAAACUCAAAGGAAUAGACGGGGACCCGCACAAGCGGUGGAGCAUGUGGUUUAAUUCGACGAUACCCCGAAAAACCUUACCUUGGACUUGACAUAAUAAAAAACUUUCUUAGAGAAAAAAUUGGUGGUCUGCUUUGCGAAAACUUUAUAUAACAGGUGUGUGCCCGGGUGUUUUUCAGCUCCUUGUCCUUGAAAAGUUUGGGGUUAAAUUCCCGCCACCAAGAGGCGAACCCUCCGUCCUUUAGUUUCGUA